GCUCGGGUGGUGAAACUGGCAAACACGUUAGCUUCAGGAGCUAAUGCCCGAAAGGGCUUGCGGGUUCAACUCCCGCCCCGAGCA
This 84-nucleotide transfer RNA is filed under the name bacterium. RNAcentral describes it as "tRNA-Leu". It matches the Rfam family "tRNA". Rfam says of the family: Transfer RNA (tRNA) molecules are approximately 80 nucleotides in length. Their secondary structure includes four short double-helical elements and three loops (D, anti-codon, and T loops). Further hydrogen bonds mediate the characteristic L-shaped molecular structure. tRNAs have two regions of fundamental functional importance: the anti-codon, which is responsible for specific mRNA codon recognition, and the 3' end, to which the tRNAs corresponding amino acid is attached (by aminoacyl-tRNA synthetases). tRNAs cope with the degeneracy of the genetic code in two manners: having more than one tRNA (with a specific anti-codon) for a particular amino acid; and 'wobble' base-pairing, i.e. permitting non-standard base-pairing at the 3rd anti-codon position. The record is from RNAcentral.